RNAcentral lists this long non-coding RNA (265 nucleotides) under Parus major (Great Tit). RNAcentral's name for it is "lncRNA (ENSPMJG00000000951.1)". The record is from RNAcentral. Lineage: Eukaryota; Metazoa; Chordata; Aves; Passeriformes; Paridae.
UUGCUUUUUUCAAGCCUUUGCUCUGGACACAGAGGGGAGCUGAGUGCUGCUUUGGGGAGGUUUCUUUGCUGUGCUGAUUUUACCUUUGCUGAUUCUCUCAAUGUUUUGCUCUAAGCUUGAUCUGCUCCCAGAGGUCCUGGAAGUAAAACCAGACCCAUAUUCCAGGCCAGAGCUGGAGGAACCCUGGGCUUUGUUGCUUUUUGAAAAUGAGGAUUUCUGCAGGAUGGAAAUUCCUGGUGUCUGUCCUUUCACAAAACUGCUGUGA